Molecule: ribosomal RNA, 237 nt
Filed under: uncultured bacterium
Lineage: Bacteria
Description: partial 16S ribosomal RNA
Rfam family: Bacterial small subunit ribosomal RNA
Source: RNAcentral
CGGCGGACGGGUGAGUAACGCGUGGGUAACCUGCCUCAUACAGGGGGAUAACAGUUAGAAAUGGCUGCUAAUACCGCAUAAGACCACAGUACUGCAUGGUACAGUGGUAAAAACUCCGGUGGUAUGAGAUGGACCCGCGUCUGAUUAGGUAGUUGGUGAGGUAACGGCCCACCAAGCCGACGAUCAGUAGCCGACCUGAGAGGGUGACCGGCCACAUUGGGACUGAGACACGGCCAA